RNAcentral lists this long non-coding RNA (1400 nucleotides) under Arabidopsis lyrata. Its description in RNAcentral is "long non-coding RNA (ALYR_LNC002884)". The stretch from base 308 to 394 matches the Rfam family "Small nucleolar RNA R16". The record is from RNAcentral. Lineage: Eukaryota; Viridiplantae; Streptophyta; Magnoliopsida; Brassicales; Brassicaceae.
CCGCAGCUAUCUUCUUCGCUUGAAUCGACUAUGGUAUCUUGGUUUUGUUCGAAUAUCUAUCGAUUGAUUCUCGUAGUUUUGUUUAUAUCUGGUUUUGUUUUGUUUUCGAUUUUGAUUGGAUUAAGAUGCAUCUGUUUGAUUUACCAACUCCUCUAACUGGUCGAGUAAAAUCACUAAAGAGUGGUAGAGGAGUUAGAACGGAUGCUGAUAGUGAAAAGGUUAUCUUACCAACCCAUUGCUAUUUCUGCAGCUUUGGCGUCAAAUGAAUCGACCUAUACCUCUUUUUUUUUUUUUUAUCUUUCUUUUGAUUGGCAAAUGAAGAAUUGAUUAAUUUAUGCUUAACCACUGAUUAACAGUGUUGACAAAACAUCUCCGCUUAUUAUCUGAUGCCAUAAUUCGAAUUUUAGUUUUAUCCUUUUUUUUUUGUUGCGAUCAAAAACAAUGAUGAGAUAUUAGCAGACGGGCGGUCUGAAUUGAUGCCGUGUAGAUUGUCUGCCAUCGCUACAAUAUCGUAGCUUCUCUGAGUAUUUGAUGAUCUAUUAUUACUUUUGAUUUGAUUUUUGUUUUUGCGAUGAUGAAGUUGCUAAUAUAUAUGUCUGGACUUAUGAGAUUAUUCAAUCUUUGAAAUGAUUGUGCAACCUUCUGAGCUUACUACCGAUAUUUUUCCAUAAAGUUGAGUUUGUUUUGAGAAUAUGAAAAUCGUUUUUUAUCAACAGAUCGGAAGUGAAUUAAGUUUAUAAAUUCUGAUAAAUUGAAGAAACAUAUCACUCUAUGAAUUUGCUAGCUUAAUUUAGUUUAACUGUAAUUAAUAAAUCAACACUACCCAAUAAGCUGAUAGUCGCUUUGAUUGAACAUUAGUUGAACUUUAUACGACAGAAACUGCGAACCUGUGCUGUUCAAAUUGAUGCUCGGUUUCUUUGAUGUCAGUGAAUAUAAAAUUGACUUUGGACCGCUGGUUUAGAUUGUUUUGUGAUUCUCAGUUCAGAGGAAUUUUGUUAUACUAACUAGGAAGUGAAUCACAAUUCACAACACCCAACCAUAAUUAUAUUGUAGUUAUGCGCUUGGAUGGAAUUUUCCAAGUGGAUUUGGUGCAUGCAUUUGAGAUUUGUCAGAUUGUACAAGUCCGAAAGUGGUGGUGCUUCAAGUGUAUUGUGCUUCACAGGAUUGUUUUUGACUCUGAUUAUUUAGGUUCAUCUUUGUGUUUUAGUUGUGUUGUUGCAUUCAAAUUUCAUUGUAAUGUAACAAUCUUGUCACUUUCUCUAUAAAAUUCUCAAGUGAAAAUUUUAUAUCUGUUUAUAUUCAAACCUCUUCUAUUUGUUGUAUAACUUGUAAUCCGUAUAGUUUAUUGGGCCUGGUUGGAUCCGUAGUAAAGAUGUAUCUUUGUUUUUUGGGGGCUUAUU